Molecule: long non-coding RNA, 2124 nt
Filed under: Nicotiana tabacum (common tobacco)
Lineage: Eukaryota; Viridiplantae; Streptophyta; Magnoliopsida; Solanales; Solanaceae
Description: long non-coding RNA (NTAB_LNC018843)
Source: RNAcentral
CCCUCCACCUCUUCGUCUUUCUCAACCUAGAGCCCUAAUCCUAGAGACGCCGUCUAUGAAUCCACCAUAGCAUCCAAUGGUGGCGCCACUACCAACCACCCUGAAAAUAACACCCCACAAUCUUCUCCACCUCCACAUCCCAAAUCCCCAAACAACUCCUUUCAAAUCCUUCCAGAACAUCUCGAAUUUCAGAUCAAAGAUCGAAACCCUAGCGCCGCCCUUAUUCUCUCCGGUGGCGGCGCCACCUCUGUUCAACCCCAAACUAACACCGGAGAACCUCCAGGGCUCCCUCACUCCAAAUCCCCAUGUGUUUUCCCUCGAAUCACCCUAUCUUUCGUCGAAUCUUGAAUCGGAGUUUGAAGUUUUAGAAGCCCAAAAUCAGAAUUUCUUGAAUCUGUGGCAUGCAUGACCUUAGGCUCCCGAAUUUUCGAGUUUUCAAGGGUUAUUUUGACAUAAAGCAGUGUUGGUCGUUUGUUCUUGGCAAAGAACAAGUGAUUAACACUGGUUGUGUUAAACCGAGAUAUCCAGUGUUGGUUUCAAAUUUAGUUGGUAAGUUUUCUUUAUUUUUCUGUCCACUUUUGUUAUUUCACCUCCUAUUCCUCUUCUCUUCUUCUACUUCUCUCUAAAUAGACUGGAAAUUGGUCAAGGUUUGAAUCUAGGUUUUCCUUUCUCGAUUGGUCCAUGCUCGUAUUUUGUUCUGUUUGCUUUCUCAGUUUUUUCUUUCAAAUUUUUGAAUGUUGUUUUCUGAUUUUUGUUUAGAUUAUUCACUCGCCGUGCUUAUUUGUUAUUUAUGACAUUUAAGUUUUCUGAUUUUUCUAGUCGUAUAAUUAGCUUAAUCAGAUGUUGUUAUUUCUAACUCAUUAUUUAGUUUAAAAGGAAGUCGGUCAUUUAGUUUAGAUUUUGGUUUUGAAAUCAUUUAAUUGGUUUCUUCUGCUUCUCAUGAAAUACCAAAUGGAUUUCUGAUUGGUUUUCGGCCUUGGGGUCAUUUCUGACCCAUUUUUAAAGAAAGCCCGUUCGUCGUGGUUUGAGCCUUGGGUCAACUUGACCCAUGUGGUAUGCUGCAGCAAAAACAGGGCUCUAAAGGGGUAAUUUGGGGAAAUAGGGGUAGGGAAUUUGUUGGUAACUGCCUAGGAAGCUUCCCAGAAGCUGCAUGAUAUACUUACUUGACCAACAAGUCAGUAAAUGAAGGGCUAAGCAACAAAAAGGAAAAUAGGAAAAGGACUAAAAUGAAAAAAAAUUGAACCCUUAAGGCUGCCCAGUAACUUGCCUAUAAAGGCAUAGUUACUCGGGGUUCCAGAGGGAUUUUUUUUUAGAUUUUGGAGAGCUAAGAAAUUCUGAAAAUCCUAAACAGCUGAAAAUUCUAGAACAAACACUAUUUCAUUGAGCUCUGUUGGUGAUUUUUUGAAGUUCCUCCUAGUGCUGAAACAAUUUCUGGGUAGCUGAUAGUUGAAAUGAAUUAAAAUAAAGUGUGGUUCAAGUUUUCUGGUUCAUUACUUGGUUUGAAACUGUUUUUUCUGGGCUGUUUUAUUCACUUUCUGGGCUUGAAACUGGUUAAAAAUUGUUGUUGAUUGCUGCUCUGUAGCUGUUAAUCCUUCAUUCUCUCUGAUUUUCUCUUCGAAUUCCAGGUACUUCUCAGACCAUGGAUGACAAGUGAAUGUGAAUAUGUACUUCGAAGGGAAACCUGAUUGAAUACAAGUUGAUAUUGAGUUUUAUUUCUUCUGUUUCUUCCAUUUCUUUAGUAUUAUAUAGUAAAUCCAAUGCUAUGUAUGUUAUUUUAGCUUUUCUCAUGUUAUUGAAAUGUUGUAAAAUGAAUCAAUGUUGUUUGUCGAUUUGAUUCUGUGGAGAGUUUAGGUGUGAUUUUUGGGAUUCAAGUGAAUGACAUGUUAAUCUCCUGGGUUCUGUUACUGUUGGUAUUGAGAAAGGAUUAGUUGAGAUUAAAUUUAUAUGUUUGUUUGUGAGUUAGCCUAGAAUUAAAUUUAAGCAUGAACACUUUGAUAGUUUGGCUACCAAUACAAUUGAAUUCAAGAAUGUGUUGCUUUUUUGGGAGUAAUGUAAGCCAACAGCAUUUGAAGUUUUCCUUGUGUAUUAAGCUACUGUGUACUGCUUGAAAGUCCAUUGAGCUUA